AGGUUUUCGGAUCGUAAAGCUCUGUUGUUAGGGAAGAACAAGUAUCGGAGUAACUGCCGGUACCUUGACGGUACCUAACCAGAAAGCCACGGCUAACUACGUGCCAGCAGCCGCGGUAAUACGUAGGUGGCAAGCGUUGUCCGGAAUUAUUGGGCGUAAAGCGCGCGCAGGCGGUCUUUUAAGUCUGAUGUGAAAGCCCACGGCUCAACCGUGGAGGGUCAUUGGAAACUGGAAGACUUGAGUGCAGAAGAGGAGAGUGGAAUUCCACGUGUAGCGGUGAAAUGCGUAGAUAUGUGGAGGAACACCAGUGGCGAAGGCGACUCUCUGGUCUGUAACUGACGCUGAGGCGCGAAAGCGUGGGGAGCGAACAGGAUUAGAUACCCUGGUAGUCCACGCCGUAAACGAUGAGUGCUAAGUGUUGGGGGGUUUCCGCCCCUCAGUGCUGCAGCUAACGCAUUAAGCACUCCGCCUGGGGAGUACGGCCGCAAGGCUGAAACUCAAAGGAAUUGACGGGGGCCCGCACAAGCGGUGGAGCAUGUGGUUUAAUUCGAAGCAACGCGAAGAACCUUACCAGGUCUUGACAUCCUCUGACACUCCUGGAGACAGGACGUUCCCCUUCGGGGGACAGAGUGACAGGUGGUGCAUGGUUGUCGUCAGCUCGUGUCGUGAGAUGUUGGGUUAAGUCCCGCAACGAGCGCAACCCUUGAUCUUAGUUGCCAG
Molecule: ribosomal RNA, 720 nt
Filed under: uncultured bacterium
Lineage: Bacteria
Description: bacterial SSU rRNA
Rfam family: Bacterial small subunit ribosomal RNA
Source: RNAcentral